Molecule: transfer RNA, 69 nt
Filed under: Amphinemura longispina
Lineage: Eukaryota; Metazoa; Arthropoda; Insecta; Plecoptera; Nemouridae
Description: tRNA-Trp
Source: RNAcentral
AAGGCUUUAAGUUAAACAAACUCAUAGCCUUCAAAGCUAUAAAUAAAGGCAUUAAUUCUUUAAGCCUUA